Molecule: ribosomal RNA, 407 nt
Filed under: uncultured bacterium
Lineage: Bacteria
Description: partial 16S ribosomal RNA
Rfam family: Bacterial small subunit ribosomal RNA
Source: RNAcentral
GACGAACGCUGGCGGCGUGCCUAAUACAUGCAAGUAGGACGCAGUUGCGAACGGGUGAGUAACGCGUAGGUAACUGCCUAUUAGAGGGGGAUAACUAUUGGAAACGAUAGCUAAUACCGCAUACUAGUAGAUGGACCUGCGUUGUAUUAGCUAGUAGGUAGGGUAAGGGCCUACCUAGGCGACGAUACAUAGCCGACCUGGGAGGGGUAUCGGCCACACUGGGACUGGGACACGGCCCAGACUCCUACGGGAGGCAGCAGUAGGGAAACUUCGGCAAUGGGGGGAACCCUGACCGAGCAACGCCGCGGGAGUGAAGAAGGUUUUCGGAUCGGAAAGCUCUGUUGUUAAGGAAGCGGUACUUAACCAGAAAGGGACGGCUAACUACGUGCCAGCCGCCGCGGUAAUUC